UACGUAGGCAGCGAGCGUUGUUCGGAGUUACUGGGCGUAAAGCGUGCGUAGGCGGUUUUGUAAGUUUGGUGUGAAAUCUCCCGGCUCAACUGGGAGGGUGCGCCGAAAACUGCAAGGCUGGAGUGUGGGAGAGGUAGGCGGAAUUCCUGGUGUAGCGGUGAAAUGCGUAGAUAUCAGGAGGAACACCUGUGGUGGAGACGGCGUACUGGACCAUGACUGACGCUGAGGCACGAAAGCGUGGGGAGCAAACAGG
Molecule: ribosomal RNA, 253 nt
Filed under: uncultured bacterium
Lineage: Bacteria
Description: partial 16S ribosomal RNA
Rfam family: Bacterial small subunit ribosomal RNA
Source: RNAcentral